AUUGAACGCUGGCGGCAGGCCUAACACAUGCAAGUCGAACGGUAACAGGGAUCAGCUUGCUGAUUCGCUGACGAGUGGCGGACGGGUGAGUAAUGUCUGGGAAGCUGCCUGAUGGAGGGGGAUAACUACUGGAAACGGUAGCUAAUACCGCAUAACGUCGCAAGACCAAAGAGGGGGACCUUCGGGCCUCUUGCCAUCGGAUGUGCCCAGAUGGGAUUAGCUAGUAGGUGGGGUAACGGCUCACCUAGGCGACGAUCCCUAGCUGGUCUGAGAGGAUGACCAGCCACACUGGAACUGAGACACGGUCCAGACUCCUACGGGAGGCAGCAGUGGGGAAUAUUGCACAAUGGGCGCAAGCCUGAUGCAGCCAUGCCGCGUGUAUGAAGAAGGCCUUCGGGUUGUAAAGUACUUUCAGCGGGGAGGAAGGGAGUAAAGUUAAUACCUUUGCCCAUUGACGUUACCCGCAGAAGAAGCACCGGCUAACUCCGUG
RNAcentral lists this ribosomal RNA (490 nucleotides) under uncultured bacterium. RNAcentral's name for it is "partial 16S ribosomal RNA". It matches the Rfam family "Bacterial small subunit ribosomal RNA", at positions 30 to 507 of the family's 1533-position model. The record is from RNAcentral.